AUUGAACGCUGGCGGCAUGCCUUACACAUGCAAGUCGAACGGCAGCACGGGAGCAAUCCUGGUGGCGAGUGGCGAACGGGUGAGUAAUAUAUCGGAACGUGCCCAGUCGUGGGGAUAACGUAGCGAAAGCUACGCUAAUACCGCAUACGAUCUAUGGAUGAAAGCGGGGGAUCGCAAGACCUCGCGCGAUUGGAGCGGCCGAUAUCAGAUUAGGUAGUUGGUGAGGUAAAGGCUCACCAAGCCGACGAUCUGUAGCUGGUCUGAGAGGACGACCAGCCACACUGGGACUGAGACACGGCCCAGACUCCUACGGGAGGCAGCAGUGGGGAAUUUUGGACAAUGGGCGCAAGCCUGAUCCAGCAAUGCCGCGUGCAGGAUGAAGGCCUUCGGGUUGUAACUGCUUUGUACGGAACGAACGGUAGAGCUCUAAUACAGUUUGUCU
This 442-nucleotide ribosomal RNA is filed under the name uncultured bacterium. RNAcentral describes it as "bacterial SSU rRNA". It matches the Rfam family "Bacterial small subunit ribosomal RNA", at positions 30 to 476 of the family's 1533-position model. The record is from RNAcentral.